UUAAGCAUAUCAAUAAGCGGAGGAAAAAGAAACCAACAGGGAUUGCCUCAGUAACGGCGAGUGAAGCGGCAACAGCUCAAAUUUGAAAUCUGGCCCCAGGCCCGAGUUGUAAUUUGCAGAGGAUGCUUCGGGUGCGGCACCGUCCAAGUCCCCUGGAACGGGGCGCCACAGAGGGUGAGAGCCCCGUCGGGUCGGCCGCCAAGCCUAUGUGAAGCUCCUUCGACGAGUCGAGUAGUUUGGGAAUGCUGCUCUAAAUGGGAGGUAGACCCCUUCUAAAGCUAAAUAUUGGCCAGAGACCGAUAGCGCACAAGUAGAGUGAUCGAAAGAUGAAAAGCACUUUGAAAAGAGGGUUAAACAGUACGUGAAAUUGUUGAAAGGGAAGCGCUUGUGACCAGACGUGCGCCGGGUGUUCAGCGGGCGUUCUCGCCCGUCUAUUCGCCCUGGCGCAGGCCAGCGUCGGUUCGGGUGGGUGGACAAAGGUACCAGGAACGUGGCUCCCUCGGGAGUGUUAUAGCCUGGUGCGUCAUGCCCCCGUCCGGACCGAGGUUCGCGCUCUGCAAGGACGCUGGCGUAAUGGUCCCCAGCGGCCCGUCUUGAAACACGGACCAAGGAGUCGAGGUUUUGUGCGAGUGUCUGGGUGUCAAACCCGCACGCGUAAUGAAAGUGAACGCAGGUGGGAGCUUCGGCGCACCACCGACCGAUCCUGAAGUUUUCGGAUGGAUUUGAGUAAGAGCAUAGGGCCUCGGACCCGAAAGAUGGUGAACUAUACUUGGAUAGGGUGAAGCCAGAGGAAACUCUGGUGGAGGCUCGCAGCGGUUCUGACGUGCAAAUCGAUCGUCAAAUCUGAGUAUGGGGGCGAAAGACUAAUCGAACCAUCUAGUAGCUGGGUUACCGCCGAAGU
This 901-nucleotide ribosomal RNA is filed under the name Menispora caesia. RNAcentral's name for it is "LSU rRNA". It matches the Rfam family "Eukaryotic large subunit ribosomal RNA", at positions 34 to 967 of the family's 3401-position model. Lineage: Eukaryota; Fungi; Ascomycota; Sordariomycetes; Chaetosphaeriales; Chaetosphaeriaceae. The record is from RNAcentral.